RNAcentral lists this transfer RNA (73 nucleotides) under Danio rerio (zebrafish). It matches the Rfam family "tRNA". From Rfam's summary of the family: Transfer RNA (tRNA) molecules are approximately 80 nucleotides in length. Their secondary structure includes four short double-helical elements and three loops (D, anti-codon, and T loops). The record is from Rfam by way of RNAcentral. Lineage: Eukaryota; Metazoa; Chordata; Actinopteri; Cypriniformes; Danionidae.
GACACGGUAGCUCAGUGGUUAGCACUAUUGCCUUACAGCAAGAAGGUGCCUGGUUCGAGUCCUGGCUGUGUCA